GUCGGGUUCUGAACUACAAAUCCCACUUGCCUUUGCGAACAGAAUUUGAGAGGGGGAAAACAAGGUCAAAUGAACCACGGGGCGCUGUUUACAGUGGCUGAAGAUGGUUGAGCAUAGGACAUUAUGGAACUCCUACAGCAGAUACAGCCAAAUAAAAGAUACCCUCGGGAUCAAGCUGUUUGGAAAAACAACUAAACAUUUGAAUGGAUACUGCAAUCUCCGAGGAUCCACAGACUGAACAUCCAGUUCCACUCAGCUUUACUGGACACCAGAAAUCGUAAGUACAACAAACUCACGGGCCCCUGCCACCCACAAGAGGAUUCCUGCGCCUCCCAAAUCCUGACUCUGUCCCUGCCCCUCCCCCACCAUGCACCCGCCGCCAUUGACCAUGAGGACACGGCCGGAGACCCCACCGAUGUCGUCACAUCCGCCUCCGCCGGCCACAGAAUUUCCGGAACCGCUGCAGCAGUCACCACCUCCACGUCCAGGUUCAACACCCCACACGCUACCCUCACCGCAGCUGCUGCCGCCCACCCCGAUCCUCCA
Stegostoma tigrinum is the source of this 546-nucleotide long non-coding RNA. RefSeq lists it as uncharacterized. The record is from RefSeq and is a predicted model, not a curated record. Lineage: Eukaryota; Metazoa; Chordata; Chondrichthyes; Orectolobiformes; Stegostomatidae. The transcript has 4 exons.